RNAcentral lists this ribosomal RNA (216 nucleotides) under Lepidopsetta polyxystra (northern rock sole). Its description in RNAcentral is "partial large subunit ribosomal RNA". Lineage: Eukaryota; Metazoa; Chordata; Actinopteri; Pleuronectiformes; Pleuronectidae. The record is from RNAcentral.
ACCCCCAGCUAAGGGCCUGAACUAAAUGGAACCUGCCUUGAUGUCUUCGGUUGGGGCGACCAUGGGGAAUACAAAACCCCCACGUGGAAAGGGAGCACACCCCUAAGUUACUUCUUCUCCCGCAAGCCAGAGCAACAGCUCUAACAAGCAGAAAUUCUGACCAAACUGAUCCGGUAAAACCGAUCAACGAACCAAGUUACCAUAGGGAUAACAGCG